ACUGGAAACAAGCUGAACUAGAAAAGAAGAAAGCUCAAAAGGAAGCCAAAAUGGAAAAUGCAAAGGGAAUUAAUUUAACAAAGUAGGGCGUGCAGUGAACCAGAAUUGUUUAAAUAUUUUCUCUGGAUAUUGUUGUUCAACAUGGUGCACCGAUGUCAUAUCAUGAUUGGACACAUGGACUGUUGGAAUGCAGAAAUGGAAUUAUUCAAAAAUUAAAAAAUUUCUUUAAUUCAAUAAAUAAGAUCAUCUAAAUGUGCACGUGUAUGUUAUAUAAAAAAUAAAG
Molecule: long non-coding RNA, 283 nt
Filed under: Olea europaea (common olive)
Lineage: Eukaryota; Viridiplantae; Streptophyta; Magnoliopsida; Lamiales; Oleaceae
Description: long non-coding RNA (OEUR_LNC004599)
Source: RNAcentral